This 824-nucleotide ribosomal RNA is filed under the name Salmonella enterica subsp. enterica serovar Dublin. RNAcentral's name for it is "partial 23S ribosomal RNA". It matches the Rfam family "Bacterial large subunit ribosomal RNA", at positions 711 to 1450 of the family's 2925-position model. Lineage: Bacteria; Pseudomonadati; Pseudomonadota; Gammaproteobacteria; Enterobacterales; Enterobacteriaceae. The record is from RNAcentral.
AGACCCGAAACCCGGUGAUCUAGCCAUGGGCAGGUUGAAGGUUGGGUAACACUAACUGGAGGACCGAACCGACUAAUGUUGAAAAAUUAGCGGAUGACCUGUGGCUGGGGGUGAAAGGCCAAUCAAACCGGGAGAUAGCUGGUUCUCCCCGAAAGCUAUUUAGGUAGCGCCUCGUGAAUUCAUCUCCGGGGGUAGAGCACUGUUUCGGCUAGGGGGCCAUCCCGGCUUACCAACCCGAUGCAAACUGCGAAUACCGGAGAAUGUUAUCACGGGAGACACACGGCGGGUGCUAACGUCCGUCGUGAAGAGGGAAACAACCCAGACCGCCAGCUAAGGUCCCAAAGUCAUGGUUAAGUGGGAAACGAUGUGGGAAGGCCCAGACAGCCAGGAUGUUGGCUUAGAAGCAGCCAUCAUUUAAAGAAAGCGUAAUAGCUCACUGGUCGAGUCGGCCUGCGCGGAAGAUGUAACGGGGCUAAACCAUGCACCGAAGCUGCGGCAGCGAACGUAUCACUUAAAGCGAUUCAGCGGGUUACGAUUGACGGAGCGAAGCGACGUCAAAGCGUAUACAAAGUCGAGUCGGUUUAAGGAUACGUUCGUUGGGUAGGGGAGCGUUCUGUAAGCCUGUGAAGGUGGCCUGUGAGGGUUGCUGGAGGUAUCAGAAGUGCGAAUGCUGACAUAAGUAACGAUAAAGCGGGUGAAAAGCCCGCUCGCCGGAAGACCAAGGGUUCCUGUCCAACGUUAAUCGGGGCAGGGUGAGUCGACCCCUAAGGCGAGGCCGAAAGGCGUAGUCGAUGGGAAACGGGUUAAUAUUCCCGUACUUGGUG